This 464-nucleotide ribosomal RNA is filed under the name Vreelandella stevensii. RNAcentral describes it as "partial 16S ribosomal RNA". It matches the Rfam family "Bacterial small subunit ribosomal RNA", at positions 338 to 795 of the family's 1533-position model. The record is from RNAcentral. Lineage: Bacteria; Pseudomonadati; Pseudomonadota; Gammaproteobacteria; Oceanospirillales; Halomonadaceae.
CCUACGGGGGGCAGCAGUGGGGAAUAUUGGACAAUGGGGGCAACCCUGAUCCAGCCAUGCCGCGUGUGUGAAGAAGGCCCUCGGGUUGUAAAGCACUUUCAGUGAGGAAGAACGCCUGGUGGUUAAUACCCAUCAGGAAAGACAUCACUCACAGAAGAAGCACCGGCUAACUCCGUGCCAGCAGCCGCGGUAAUACGGAGGGUGCGAGCGUUAAUCGGAAUUACUGGGCGUAAAGCGCGCGUAGGUGGCUUGAUAAGCCGGUUGUGAAAGCCCCGGGCUCAACCUGGGAACGGCAUCCGGACUGGCAAGCUAGAGUGCAGGAGAGGAAGGUAGAAUUCCCGGUGUAGCGGUGAAAUGCGUAGAGAUCGGGAGGAAUACCAGUGGCGAAGGCGGCCUUCUGGACUGACACUGACACUGAGGUGCGAAAGCGUGGGUAGCAAACAGGAUUAGAUACCCUGGUAGUC